AAAUAAUGUUGCCUUCAUCCCAAGCAUUUUUAGCUGUACCACAUAUAGACCCCUGCCCUUUCGUCUCUAGAUACACAGGAAUACAUUACAGGCAGUUGUGGUAUAGUGCAAUGCCUAACUAACAAUCACAGAGCUAUCAGUACUGCAGGUUGUGAGAGCCCCUUUCCUCUCUUAGUACCACUGGGUCCAGAUAGAGACACACAUCAUUCUCCAAGGGUAUUUGUAAUGUGGUAUCCCCAUUUGGGGGAGAGAGGGCACGAAUGCCCCCACCCACCCACAGCUUUUUGCACUGGUUGUAAGUUCCAUAACUGUGGGUCUGGGGAGACAUGCCCAACCACUUUUAAGCAGUGGUCUUGUACUAAAUCAGUAUGGCUGUUGCUGGAGCGGUCCAAAACCUUGCUCUGGCCGAGUGCUCCCAACAUCACUGAAAUUUGACACACACCCCCGUACAGAUGGAGGGAGGUUGAGCCAAAUUUCAGUGACUGGCAUUCAAGCACUGCAACCAAGCACAUCGGGUCUCAGUGGCACUCAGAUUUGACCUUGCUGCUUGUCUAUCCAGACAGAGGGGCGGCCAGACCAAAUGGGUCUCAACCUGACCAUGGGGAGUCUGUUCCUGUGUGGUAAAGUGCAGGGGAGUCUGCCAAGAACUCGACAUUUGGGGCACCAUCUCAUGCACUGUUUGGUCAAACUGAACUGGUGUCUGACUGUUAUCUGGGGCAGCUCCUGGCAGGUGCACUCGGCGGGAACUGAACUCUGGCCUCAGAAGAGGAAUCUAAAGACCUCCCUUGCUUGGAACAGAAGAAACGAAUUAAUAACAGAGCAUGCUGUCUCCUUGCCCCUCCUCCACCGCCGUUAUUUCCACCACCGUAUUUCAAACAGGGCUGGGAUUCUAAGCUGCUUACCCUUGAUAUGA
This 913-nucleotide long non-coding RNA is filed under the name Terrapene triunguis (Three-toed box turtle). RNAcentral's name for it is "Terrapene carolina triunguis (Three-toed box turtle) lncRNA (ENSTMTG00000002874.1)". The record is from RNAcentral. Lineage: Eukaryota; Metazoa; Chordata; Testudines; Emydidae.